This 5981-nucleotide long non-coding RNA is filed under the name Phaseolus vulgaris (common bean). RNAcentral's name for it is "long non-coding RNA (PVUL_LNC003231)". The record is from RNAcentral. Lineage: Eukaryota; Viridiplantae; Streptophyta; Magnoliopsida; Fabales; Fabaceae.
AAACUGGGACCAAGGUUCCCAGCGAGAGCGUUACGCAUGAACCCCGCAUGAGCAAUAGGGCGCCGAUCAGUCAUCGGGUGCAUUGUCAUCGGGGUCUCGUGUUACACGCAGUUAAACUGGGACCAAGGUUCCCAGCGAGAGCGUUACGCAUGAACCCCGCAUGAGUAUACCUCAGGGAAUCGUGCACGAGGAUGGCCUGAGAGAGCCAGUACACCGAUCAGUGAUCGGUUACUCCCUCAACCCAUUACAUGCAUGACGCCACGAAAGGUAAGCCGCUUACGCGGGGAGCAGUGUUUGGUGAGUGUGCCUAGACCAGCCACACCUGGCACUCUCCUGCGAGCGCGCGAGUUAUCCAGAUAGAAGAAGGGUCUGAGUCAUUCCGCAAGGGAAUAACUUAGAUCCGCAAAGAGAAGCACCAGNNNNNNNNNNNNNNNNNNNNNNNNNNNNNNNNNNNNNNNNNNNNNNNNNNNNNNNNNNNNNNNNNNNNNNNNNNNNNNNNNNNNNNNNNNNNNNNNNNNNACGUUUAGAUGUUUAUGCCAUGCUCAUGUGUUUUUUCUUCUUCUCUGCGUCAUUGCUUUUAAUAGUCUAUGAACAAUGCUCGAUUUCUUUUACUUUUUUUUUCUCUUCCCUCGUAUUUAAUCGGUGAACGUUGGCGAAGUUUAAACAAUGCACCUUGUUUUUUUUUUCUUUCCCCGCUUCACUGCGUUUAAUUUGUAUUCAAUACACCAUUUUUUUGCCCUUUUCCCUUCUCUCUGAAUUAGUUGGUGAACUUUGUCAUGUUCUAAACAACGCACCUUGUUUUUGCCUCCUCCUGCUUCGAUGCGUUUAAUUUAUGAGCCGGUGGUGUGUUUACUUUAUCCAUCAAUGCGUUUAGUUGGGGUUUGGGGAUUGUGGGGGUGGUAGUGAACACCGCUUUGAACUCACAACUCUUUGAACUCACAACUCCUUGAACUCACAACUCCUUGAACUCACAACUCCUUGAACUCACAACUCCUUGAACUCAGGUCAUAUAGUUUUUAUUUCGCUCAAGUUUGUGAAUGUGACUUGUAAUAGUACUAUUUGUUUUGCAUAAGUUUUUAGGAGAAAUUUAUCAAUAUAAGCCAUUUUCUAGUUUAUUAUAAUAAUCAAAUUUAUGAUGUUAAGUUUCAUGUAAUGGGAACUUAAUUAAGCUCUUAAUUAAAUUGUUUGCGUGUAUGAGUUGGGAACUAAGGAUACGUUUUGUUCAUAUUGAAGGAUUGGACAAAACGAAUAGUUAGCACUUUGCCCAAGCAACCAAGUCACAAGGAAAUCUUUUUGUUUUGUCUAUUGUAUCAGGGUCGGUACACUGCACAAGUGGAAUAGGCUAGCACUUGGCACUAACAAAACUGUUGUCUGUUACAAUUAGAUGAUGCACUGCACUCCUAGAAUACGUUAGCACUCACUACCUAAACAUUUUGCUUUCUCUAUUCUGUUGGAUCAAUGCACUGCACAUGUAGAAUAGGUUUACAUUCGGCACAAACAAAACUUUUUGGUUUUGUCUAUUGCAUCGGUUUGAUGCACUACACAUGUAGUAUUGGUUCGUAUUAGUGCAGGCAAAACUUUUUUGUUUUGUCUAUUGUAUCGGGUCGACAGACUCCAUCUGCAGAAUUGGUUUGCAGUUGGCACAAGCAAAAAUUUUGUUUUUGUCUAUUCAUCAGGUUGAUGCACUGCACUUUUACAUUAGGUUUGUACAGGGCACAAUCAAAUUUUUUUGUUUGUUUAUUGUAUAUGGCCAAUGCACUGCACAUGUUGAAUUGGUAGCACUUAUUGUCUUUGUAUUAGGUUGGUGCACUGCACAUGUAGAAUAGUUAGCACUUAGCACCAGGGUUGAUGCGCUGCACAAGCAUUUUGGAGGUGAGCAGGCGUUGAUGGUUAUUCUUUAUCGGUAUUAAUGAGAUCUAGUUGAAGGGUAUAUCUGACUUUGGGUGGUCUUGUGCAUGGAAGUAGAAGUUGCCUGCGUUUAGUUCAACUUUUUUUUUGAAGAAAUAAUAAUUUAUUUUUUGUUAGAGUACUAAUCGAAUAGUUAGGAUAAAGGAGCAAUGAUCCGAUCGGUCAUCGGUGUUCGAUAACGUUAGCAGAAGACGACCGCGUGGACCAAUUGCAGGGUGACACGUGGUCAAGGUGACAGAUAGAUCAGGUGGCGUAGGAACCACGAAGGUGAUCGGUGGUCAGUACCAAGUGACCACCGACAGAUCAAGUGGAGAAACGCGAGAAGCAAUAGAGCACCGAUCAGUCAUCGGGUGCAUUGUCAUCGGGGUCUCGUGUUACACGCAGUUAAACUGGGACCAAGGUUCCCAGCGAGAGCGUUACGCAUGAACCCCGCAUGAGUAUACCUCAGGGAAUCGUGCACGAGGAUGGCCUGAGGGAGCCAGUACACCGAUCAGUGAUCGGUUACUCCCUCAACCCAUUACAUGCAUGACGCCACGAAAGGAAAGCCGCUUACGCGGGGAGCAGUGUUUGGUGAGUGUGCCUAGACCAGCCACACCUGGCACUCUCCUGCGAGCGCGCGAGUUAUCCAGAUAGAAGAAGGGUCUGAGUCAUUCCGCAAGGGAAUAACUUAGAUCCGCAAAGAGAAGCACCAGAGCCCUGCAAAUGGUGACGCGUGUGUGGUUAGAUGUGAGUAGCAUGCCUCCACGUAUCAUGAGAAUGGCGCGGCCCAGACGAAAGUGUAUUCUGCACGCUAAAGGGAACAGUCUCGCGCAGCCUAGCACAGCCAGCGCAGACUCCCGCAGGCGGGCACAGACACCCAAGUCUCACUAACUCUGAGGGUAGGUGGUGAUAGGAAAGCACAACAGGGUUCUGACACACGCCAAAGGCGCAGCAGAGCCCUGUUGAUCACGUCACCAAAGAGAAAGAUAAAAGGGAGUGAGGGUGAGACAAAAAAGGGACUUUUGGUUUUUCCGAGGGACACAGAGUCUGAAAGAGAGGAGGUUACGCAUAGAGACAGAGAGCAUCUUUUCUCAAGAGAGUUAUCACGCUCUCCAGUUGCUUUCUUUUGGUGGUUCUGUGGACUAACUUGAGCGUCGGAGCACAAACGGCCGCUAGAGGCGCCGUCUGUGUGUUUUGCAGGUCACGUUCGGAGCUUGCAGAGGAGGUUCUGAAGGUGCUCGCGUAGAGAACACAGCUGCACAGACGGAUCAGGAGCGCAGCGAGGCCAUUCCAUCACGCUCGAGUUGCCGGCAGUAUCAUUUGGCGCCCACCGUGGGGCCGUGUGAAUCGUGGUCCCAUAUACACCACAGUUUGAAGCUUGCCAGAGUUAGUAGGGGGUCGCGCUUUGGCAAGUAGGAUACUCCGUGCAGGUUACUACUGCCCAAGGCUGAAGGAAGACUGCGUAAGGUUUGCUCAGCGUUGCAGACAGUGCCAACUUCACGCGGACUGGCAUAAGGCGCCCCCCGAGGAGUUGAGAUCCAUCCGUAGCCCGUGGCCAUUCCACACAUGGGGGAUUGACAUCCUGGGACCCUUUCCCUUGGCGAUAAGGCAGAUGAAGUUCCUCAUAGUGGCCAUCGAGUACUUCACCAAGUGGGUGGAGGCAGAACCAAUUGCUCACAUCACCGCACAGAAAGUCCAACACUUCGUCUGGAAAAACAUCGUCUGUCGCUUCGGAGUACCCAAGAGGUUAGUCUCCGACAAUGGCACCCAGUUCACGAGUCAUCAGCUAAGGAAGAGGUGCGAGGAGUUAAAAAUACAGCAAGUUUUCGCCUCAGUAGAACACCCGCAGACAAAUGGGCAGGUAGAGUCAGCCAACCGAGUACUGCUCAGGGGGCUGAAGCGAAGGUUAGACAAGGCUAAAGGGAGCUGGGCUGAGGAGGUUCCCAGAAUCGUAUGGUCUUACCAUACCACCCCACAGUCCAGCACCCACGAGACGCCCUUCAGCCUCGUUUACGGGACAGAUGCCAUGAUCCCUGUGGAAAUACAGGAGAACUCCCCCAGGUUUUUGAAUUUCAUUGCUGAAGAAUCCAAUGAAGAACGAAGGGUGAAUCUCGACCUACUGGAAGAAGUGCGAGAAGAAGCCAGAAUCAGCGCUGAAGCCGUCAAAAGAAGAGUAGAACGAAGGCACAACUCUAAAGUGAGGCUCAGGCGCUUCCAGGAAGGUGAUCUGGUGAUGAGAAAGGCACAUCAGAUUGACAUGCAGAACAAGUUGUCCCCAAAGUGGACAGGCCCGUACAGAGUGGUGGAGACGUUGGAAAACGGAGCCUAUCGCCUAGAGACUUUGGAGGGAGGAGCAAUCCCCCGAACGUGGAACGCUACCCAUUUAAAAUUCUAUUUCAGUUAAAAGUUGUACAGUAAUGGCGUUCUCGCGCUAAGAGGUACAUGCUUUGUAUGUAGUGGAAACAGUUGAACAGACAAGGGGGCACUCUUUUCCCUAAGGAGGGUUUUUGAUGAGGCCACCCAAUUAAAAAGAAAAUUUCCAGCGUAUCAAGUGUGCUCAAGUAUUGACGUCAGAAUCUCCUUUGCCCCAGGUGCAAGUGCAGGUGAUUGAUUAGGCCCUACUUGCCCUAGGCGCAAGUGCUGGCACUAAUCUGAGUCUUCCUCACCCCAGGUGUGAGCGCAAGCAGUUAGAAGUUUGAAACCCCGAGGGGGUUAGUAAGACCAAGUGAGGGAAAGGAAAGAUUUUGACAGCAGUCCUUGCCCACUUGGCAUACACCCAUAUUGGCCCAGUAAGCUCUUAGUUUGAAACCCUUCUCACCCCAGGUGUGAGGUAGGGAAAGAUCGACCAAUCCGCAAAGGUUGAUGACCCUGGGGAAGGUAAGAGGGGUCAGCGAGAAACACUUUUCUUUCCCCAAAACAAGGCAUCACCUCGAAAGAUUGAUGACGAAGUCCUCUAUGCACUUAGCGCUGGAGCCACAGAGAAGCUAAGAAAAGACCGUAGAACGAUGACCGAUCACAGGCGCCCAACCUUGAAGGUACCACGAGCGUUCGUGUCAGACAACCAGGUACUUCAUGUGUACAAAGCGAUGGAAUGUCUAACGAUCGGUCAUCGGUCGUGACUCAAGAAACGCUGAGAGCGCCGAGGGUUAGAGCGCGACCGUCGAAGACCGAUGAGUCGCCAGCAGAGGUGUUAGUGUGUAAGUGCCCUGUUUGCGGAAGCUUUCCCAAACAAGUUCUCACAUAUCAAGUUAGCAAACAGAAUACCCAGUACGAAGCCAUGCACAAGGACUGUUAGAGAUCAAGUUAAGCGAGUUGUUAGUCGUGAUUGAGUUAGAAGCCAAGAUCAGAGGCUUGAGAUCGCGCUAGGCCUAAACUGGCCAACACUUAGCCAUGCGAAAAGGAAAAGACAAGGCUCAAGGUCGCGCUAAGCCUAAGCUGGUUAACAGAUAAUCGUGUGCAAAUAGAAAGAUAGAAGUCAAGAAAACACAAAGAGAAAGUUGUGCAGCUGAAACCAAUGUAUAUUAACAAAGACACUUAAAAGAAGCUUCAGGUACAAUAGUCAAUGGUGCAGAAAUUUAAAGUUACAAAACGAAGGUUACAAAAAAUGGAAAGAGCUCAAGAAGGAGGAGGAAUAAGUUUCCCAUCUUCCACUUCGUGGUGAAUGCUGAACUGCGAGAGGUCCAGGUCCGGGAGAACACAUUGGACCUGCUCGAGUGCAAGCUCGAACCCGUCAGUAAGAGCCUCAGCACCCACACUCAUUAAGGAGGCCCUCUCAGCUUCUGCAGUUUCUUUUGCAGUGGUGAGGGAAGCGAUGGAAGAGGAAGCUUCUUCUAGCUGGCACCUUGCCUCCUCAAGCUCUUUCUCCUUGGAUGCGGCCUUCUCCUCACUAGCCUCGAGCUUCCCCGCCAGUUCUGAGUUCGUUUGCUGAAGGGAGGAAGUCUCGUCUUCCAGGCGGAGAACCUUGCUUUUCAACUCGGCCAUUUCACAGUCCAGCGUGGUAACGGCUUGGCCCAUCAAGAUCUCAGUCUUGAUGGUCUCCUGGACUUGCGCUAGGUACUCUCUCCUAGACUCCUCCACCAUACCCCUCAUCAGNN